GUGGGGAAUAUUGGACAAUGGGCGAAAGCCUGAUCCAGCCAUGCCGCGUGUGUGAAGAAGGCCUUCGGGUUGUAAAGCCCUUUUGUACGGGAAGAAAUCAUUCGGAUUAAUACCCUGGGUGGAUGACGGUACCGUAAGAAUAAGCACCGGCUAACUUCGUGCCAGCAGCCGCGGUAAUACGAAGGGUGCAAGCGUUAAUCGGAAUUACUGGGCGUAAAGUGUGCGUAGGUGGUUGUUCAAGUCUGUCGUGAAAGCCCUGGGCUCAACCUGGGAAUGGCAAUGGACACUGGGCGACUAGAGUGCGGGAGAGGAUGGCGGAAUUCCCGGUGUAGCGGUGAAAUGCGUAGAGAUCGGGAGGAACAUCCGUGGCGAAGGCGGCCAUCUGGACCAGCACUGACACUGAGGCACGAAAGCGUGGGGAGCAAACAGGAUUAGAAACCCCGGUAGUCC
Molecule: ribosomal RNA, 450 nt
Filed under: uncultured bacterium
Lineage: Bacteria
Description: partial 16S ribosomal RNA
Rfam family: Bacterial small subunit ribosomal RNA
Source: RNAcentral